RNAcentral lists this long non-coding RNA (1394 nucleotides) under Callithrix jacchus (white-tufted-ear marmoset). Its description in RNAcentral is "lncRNA (ENSCJAG00000083889.1)". Lineage: Eukaryota; Metazoa; Chordata; Mammalia; Primates; Cebidae. The record is from RNAcentral.
CAAUUGUCACCAUUCCACAGUUCCUUUUUAUUUAACUCCACUCCUGUCUUGUUAUUUGCAGUUAUAGAUGCUGAAGAAUUUUAAAGCCAAUCCCAGACGUUGUGUCUCCCAUAAAUACCUUUGUAUGUGUCUUUGGAGGUUAUUCUUGAGCUAAGAAGAUAUUUUCUCUGACUGAGAAGGUUAUGCCCUUAAAUCAAGUGAAUAUCUUUGCAGAUAAAGAUGUUCCAAAGGACAUGCAGGAGAAAGGGAUGCUCCCGGGCCUGCCACAUCAGAAGCCAAUCAGAACUACUCAGUGGAGUGGCAGCUCUUGUGGCCAGACGGCCCAGGCAGCCAAGUUUGGCGUUCAAGAACCCGAGCCUCCCCAUCACUUGAUGGAGGGUUCAUAUUUGCUGUUCUGUUGUUCUUGGUUGUGGGAGUAACUCAAAGUCUCAAGUAUGCAAAAACCAGUUGGAAAUGUUUUAAAAGGGCAGCCAAGUAGGCAUUUCUCUUCCAAAUAACAAGCUUGAUUCCACUGUUGGAUUUUUAAAAACUUUUAUUUAUCUUCAUUAAUUAUUUAACUUUGAUUUUCAUGCUUUCUCACUGAAUAAAUAUUCCUAAAUAGGUUAAAAUAACAGGGAAAUGAAAUCACCCAAAGACGUUAGUCACACAGUGUGCUUGGCUGGUGAUAAGACUCUGGGACUGCACGAGGAAACAGCGUUUGCUUCUGGCCCUGCCAUGAGGUUGUUGUGUGACCCUGGAAGCCGUUCACCAUCUCUGGACCGGUUGCUUCCCCCGUCAAACUAAAGGGGGAGGGCUCUCAGGUGGGUAAUUCCUAUUCUUUUGAUGUUCACUUUGUCUCCUUUUUCUUUUGGUAAUGAGACCCUGUAUUUCCUUUGGGGAACCACCCCUCUCCUACAGUCAUUUAUCUCAGUGGGGUCACCACCAUGAGUCUGAGAUGUGGGAUCCCCUCUGUGGCAGUGGGAGUUGGAAAGGACGCUUCUCAUAGCAUGAAAGGAUGAUUAGAAACAUUUUUAUGAAAGUAAAAAUGAUAGCAAGUCAAACAAUUUCUUUUCUUUUCCUUUUUUUUUUGAAAUGGAGUCUCACUCUGUAGCCCAGGCUGGAGUGCAGUGUCCCAAUCUUGGCUCAAUGCAACCUCCGCCUCCUGGGUCCCAGGUCAAGCAAUUCUCCUACCUCAGCCUCCCAAGUAGCUGGGAUUACAGGCACAAGCCACUAUGCCCAGCUAAUUUUUGUAUUUUUUUAGUAGAGACAGGAUUUCACCAUGUUGGCCAGUCUAGUCUUGAACUCCUGACCUCGUGAUCUGCCCACCUCAGCCUCCCAAAGUGUUGGGAUUAGAGGCGUGAGCCACGGUGCCCAGCCAAGUCAAACUAUUUCUUAUCUUCUAUGUUAGUCAGCUA